UGAAGUAGGGGCAGAGGGCGGGGGAAAGACGGUGGUGGAAAGUGUUGUCGGGGAUGAGGUGGGUGAAAGGGACUGAGUGGUGUUGCUGAGGGCUGAUGUGAAAGGCUACGCGUGAACCGGAGUAGGGCACCGGAAACGAGGGGACUUGAGUUCGGAAGAGGACAGGGGAACUCCGUGUGUAGCGGUGAAAUGCGUAGAUAUAGGGAAGAACACCAGUGGCGAAGGCGGCUAUCUUGGCUGAAACUGACGCUGAGGCGCGAAAGCAUGGGGAGCGAACAGGAUUAGAUACCCCGGUAGUC
RNAcentral lists this ribosomal RNA (299 nucleotides) under uncultured Bacillus sp. Its description in RNAcentral is "partial 16S ribosomal RNA". The stretch from base 66 to 299 matches the Rfam family "Bacterial small subunit ribosomal RNA", at positions 562 to 795 of the family's 1533-position model. The record is from RNAcentral. Lineage: Bacteria; Bacillati; Bacillota; Bacilli; Caryophanales; Bacillaceae.